GUGGGGAAUAUUGGACAAUGGGGGGAACCCUGAUCCAGCCAUGCCGCGUGUGUGAAGAAGGCCUUUUGGUUGUAAAGCACUUUAAGUGGGGAGGAGGCUUACCUGGUUAAUACCUGGGCUAAGUGGACGUUACCCACAGAAUAAGCACCGGCUAACUCUGUGCCAGCAGCCGCGGUAAUACAGAGGGUGCGAGCGUUAAUCGGAUUUACUGGGCGUAAAGCGCGCGUAGGUGGUUAAUUAAGUCAAAUGUGAAAUCCCCGAGCUUAACUUGGGAAUUGCAUUCGAUACUGGUUAGCUAGAGUAUGGGAGAGGAUGGUAGAAUUCCAGGUGUAGCGGUGAAAUGCGUAGAGAUCUGGAGGAAUACCGAUGGCGAAGGCAGCCAUCUGGCCUAAUACUGACACUGAGGUGCGAAAGCAUGGGGAGCAAACAGGAUUAGAAACCCGGGUAGUCC
This 451-nucleotide ribosomal RNA is filed under the name uncultured bacterium. RNAcentral describes it as "partial 16S ribosomal RNA". It matches the Rfam family "Bacterial small subunit ribosomal RNA", at positions 354 to 796 of the family's 1533-position model. The record is from RNAcentral.